AAAUUGAACGCUGGCGGCAUGCCUUACACAUGCAAGUCGAACGGCAGCACGGGAGCAAUCCUGGUGGCGAGUGGCGAACGGGUGAGUAAUACAUCGGAACGUGCCCAGUAGUGGGGGAUAGCCCGGCGAAAGCCGGAUUAAUACCGCAUACGACCUACGGGUGAAAGCGGGGGAUCGCAAGACCUCGCGCUAUCGGAGCGGCCGAUGUCAGAUUAGCUAGUUGGUAGGGUAAAAGCCUACCAAGGCGACGAUCUGUAGCUGGUCUGAGAGGACGACCAGCCACACUGGGACUGAGACACGGCCCAGACUCCUACGGGAGGCAGCAGUGGGAAUUUUGGACAAUGGGCGCAAGCCUGAUCCAGCCAUGCCGCGUGCGGGAAGAAGGCCUUCGGUGUAAACCGCUUUGUCAGGAAGAACGCUCCGAGUUAAUACCUCGGAGUAAUGACGGUACCUGAAGAAUAAGCACCGGCUAACUACGUGCCAGCAGCCG
Molecule: ribosomal RNA, 490 nt
Filed under: uncultured soil bacterium
Lineage: Bacteria
Description: bacterial SSU rRNA
Rfam family: Bacterial small subunit ribosomal RNA
Source: RNAcentral